This 465-nucleotide ribosomal RNA is filed under the name Vreelandella stevensii. RNAcentral describes it as "partial 16S ribosomal RNA". It matches the Rfam family "Bacterial small subunit ribosomal RNA", at positions 338 to 795 of the family's 1533-position model. The record is from RNAcentral. Lineage: Bacteria; Pseudomonadati; Pseudomonadota; Gammaproteobacteria; Oceanospirillales; Halomonadaceae.
CCUACGGGCGGCUGCAGUGGGGAAUAUUGGACAAUGGGGGGAACCCUGAUCCAGCCAUGCCGCGUGUGUGAAGAAGGCCCUCGGGUUGUAAAGCACUUUCAGUGAGGAAGAACGCCUGGUGGUUAAUACCCAUCAGGAAAGACAUCACUCACAGAAGAAGCACCGGCUAACUCCGUGCCAGCAGCCGCGGUAAUACGGAGGGUGCGAGCGUUAAUCGGAAUUACUGGGCGUAAAGCGCGCGUAGGUGGCUUGAUAAGCCGGUUGUGAAAGCCCCGGGCUCAACCUGGGAACGGCAUCCGGAACUGUCAAGCUAGAGUGCAGGAGAGGAAGGUAGAAGUCCCGGUGUAGCGGUGAAAUGCGUAGAGAUCGGGAGGAAUACCAGUGGCGAAGGCGGCCUUCUGGACUGACACUGACACUGAGGUGCGAAAGCGUGGGUAGCAAACAGGAUUAGAUACCCCUGUAGUC